GGGCUUAUGGUCUAGUUGGUUUCAUAGGGGGGUAGAACCCCUUUAUGCCACAAAUGACGUCGCUCUCACACAGCGGAGGUCGCCGGUUCGAAUCCGGCUAAGCCCACCA
RNAcentral lists this transfer RNA (109 nucleotides) under Thermoplasmata archaeon. RNAcentral describes it as "tRNA-Val". It matches the Rfam family "tRNA". From Rfam's summary of the family: Transfer RNA (tRNA) molecules are approximately 80 nucleotides in length. Their secondary structure includes four short double-helical elements and three loops (D, anti-codon, and T loops). Further hydrogen bonds mediate the characteristic L-shaped molecular structure. tRNAs have two regions of fundamental functional importance: the anti-codon, which is responsible for specific mRNA codon recognition, and the 3' end, to which the tRNAs corresponding amino acid is attached (by aminoacyl-tRNA synthetases). tRNAs cope with the degeneracy of the genetic code in two manners: having more than one tRNA (with a specific anti-codon) for a particular amino acid; and 'wobble' base-pairing, i.e. permitting non-standard base-pairing at the 3rd anti-codon position. The record is from RNAcentral. Lineage: Archaea; Methanobacteriati; Thermoplasmatota; Thermoplasmata.